GCGACCCCAGGUCAGGGGGGAUUACCCGCUGAGUUUAAGCAUAUCAAUAAGCGGAGGAAAAAAAACUUACCAGGAUUCCCUUAUUAACGGGGAGGGAACCGGGGAAUUUCAAA
This 113-nucleotide ribosomal RNA is filed under the name Peltaea sp. Fernandes Jr 286. RNAcentral's name for it is "partial 26S ribosomal RNA". It matches the Rfam family "Eukaryotic large subunit ribosomal RNA", at positions 1 to 112 of the family's 3401-position model. Lineage: Eukaryota; Viridiplantae; Streptophyta; Magnoliopsida; Malvales; Malvaceae. The record is from RNAcentral.